RNAcentral lists this ribosomal RNA (497 nucleotides) under uncultured bacterium. RNAcentral's name for it is "bacterial SSU rRNA". It matches the Rfam family "Bacterial small subunit ribosomal RNA", at positions 38 to 524 of the family's 1533-position model. The record is from RNAcentral.
CGGCGGCAUGCUUUCACAUGCAAGUCGGACGGCAGCACAGAGAAGCUUGCUUCUUGGGUGGCGAGUGGCGAACGGGUGAGUAACAUAUCGGAACGUACCGAGUAGUGGGGGAUAACUAAUCGAAAGAUUAGCUAAUACCGCAUACGUCUUGAGAGAGAAAGCAGGGGAUCUUCGGACCUUGCGCUAUUCGAGCGGCCGAUAUCUGAUUAGCUAGUUGGUGGGGUAAAGGCCUACCAAGGCGACGAUCAGUAGCGGGUCUGAGAGGAUGAUCCGCCACACUGGGACUGAGACACGGCCCAGACUCCUACGGGAGGCAGCAGUGGGGAAUUUUGGACAAUGGGCGCAAGCCUGAUCCAGCCAUGCCGCGUGUCUGAAGAAGGCCUUCGGGUUGUAAAGGACUUUUGUCUGGGAAGAAAAGGUUGGUGCUAAUAUCGCUGACUGAUGACGGUACCUGAAGAAUAAGCACCGGCUAACUACGUGCCAGCAGCCGCGGUAAU